AUGGGCUCGGGGCUUAGCCCGUGCUCCGGAAGCGGAAGGAGGGGCCGCGGGUGGCUCUCGGCUAGAGCGGCGGAAGGGGAAGGGCAAGGUCGAGGCGGGGUGGGGGGCAGGGUAGGGCAUGACUUUAUAUCGGAAUCCCUCCGUGUGGAGUCGGUACCGCCGCAUCCUGGGCGUCGCCGGGUUCGCGGCCGUGAUGACGGUGGUGUUGUACCCCAUCUGCAUCCGUCCCUUGAUGAACGCCGACGACUACAAAAAACUGCAAGCAAAAAAUCGAACUUAUUAUACAAAAGAAAAUGUGCCUCCAGGAUUAACACCAGGGUCUCAGCUAUCUGGAAGCAAAUGACUUUGAUAAAGAAUGUGUUCUUCCUUGUUUGAUCCUGGAUAUUCUGACUUCUUUCAAUCAGCUAAGAUGCUGCAGAAAAGAGCUUGCCUGUGUUGGAGUGUUUUAUAGCAUCGUUUACUUGCAAAGCAGUGGCAGCUGCUGACCAUUAAAGAUUAGAGACACCUUUGUCCCUAUGAUCCAGUAGUUUGGGGGGGGGGGAAAUCAACAUUUCUGUUAAGCAAAUGGAAUAAUUGCUUUCUUCUUAUUGGAAAAAUGGAAGCAAAUUACUUGGGUGAAUAGGGAUUGGACAUGACUAUAAUAGAUUGUCCAACUGAUGUAUCUAUAAAAGUGCACUGGAUAAUAAAAUAUCUACAAAACAGAAUAUCA
This 709-nucleotide long non-coding RNA is filed under the name Pogona vitticeps (central bearded dragon). RNAcentral's name for it is "lncRNA (ENSPVIG00000020239.1)". Lineage: Eukaryota; Metazoa; Chordata; Lepidosauria; Squamata; Agamidae. The record is from RNAcentral.